Molecule: ribosomal RNA, 552 nt
Filed under: Arthrobotrys flagrans
Lineage: Eukaryota; Fungi; Ascomycota; Orbiliomycetes; Orbiliales; Orbiliaceae
Description: SSU rRNA
Rfam family: Eukaryotic small subunit ribosomal RNA
Source: RNAcentral
CCCUUCUCUCACAUCCAGGAGGCAGCAGGCGCGCAAAUUACCCAAUCCCGAUACGGGGAGGUAGUGACAAUAAAUACUGAUACAGGGCUCUUUUGGGUCUUGUAAUUGGAAUGAGUACAAUUUAAAUCCCUUAACGAGGAACAAUUGGAGGGCAAGUCUGGUGCCAGCAGCCGCGGUAAUUCCAGCUCCAAUAGCGUAUAUUAAAGUUGUUGCAGUUAAAAAGCUCGUAGUUGAAUUUUGGGUUUGGCUGCUCGGUCCACCUAACCGCGUGCACUGAUGCGGCCGGAUCUUUCUUUCUGGCUAACCUCAUGCCCUUCACUGGGUGUGCUGGGGAUCCAGGACAUUUACUUUGAAAAAAUUAGAGUGUUCAAAGCAGGCCUUUGCUCGAAUACAUUAGCAUGGAAUAAUAAAAUAAGACGGGGGUGUCUAUUUUGUUGGUUUCUAGAGCCACCGUAAUGAUUAAUAGGGAUAGUCGGGGGCAUCAGUAUUCAAUUGUCAGAGGUGAAAUUCUUGGAUUUAUUGAAGACUAACUACUGCGAAAGCAUUUGCCAA